UACGUAGGGUGCAAGCGUUGUUCGGAAUUACUGGGCGUAAAGGGAGAGUAGGCGGGAAAAUAAGUUAGAAGUUUAAUAUAUAGGCUUAACCUAUAACCUGCUUCUAAUACUGUUUUUCUUGAGUAUUGGAGAGGGAGAUGGAAUUCCAGGUGUAGCGGUGGAAUGCGUAGAUAUCUGGAAGAACACCAGUUGCGAAGGCGGUCUCCUGGCCAAAUACUGACGCUGAUGCUCGAAAGCUAGGGGAG
Molecule: ribosomal RNA, 245 nt
Filed under: uncultured bacterium
Lineage: Bacteria
Description: partial 16S ribosomal RNA
Rfam family: Bacterial small subunit ribosomal RNA
Source: RNAcentral